CACCACCUCUCUUCUUCAGGAAGACUGCUUCUCUCACACUCUAACCAUCAGGUGCAAAUGAUGGCUACCAAUCAUCCACUCCCAUCCAGGGCCUCUGACCCGGGCUAAGCCAACUGGUCUCCUGGGACUCUUCAGCUGGCAUCAAGCUUGGGGAGAGGCACUGUUUUGACAGUAUUUGCACAUGGGAUUUACCUCCAUCCUUGGAUAUAUUUCUGUGACACCAGAGCAGUUUCCAUGAAGGCCCUGGAAGGGAAAUUUUCAAUCAACAAACAGCAAAGGAGCCCACUGACCAUGGGCACACUUUUUUUCUUAACAAAUAUUAUUGCUGAUGUCUUAUCACAUAAUCAACUCAUUAUAGAAAUUACGGCUAAGCAAAAUAAAAUGAAACCAC
Molecule: long non-coding RNA, 391 nt
Filed under: Homo sapiens (human)
Lineage: Eukaryota; Metazoa; Chordata; Mammalia; Primates; Hominidae
Description: HSALNT0116281
Source: RNAcentral